CGGGAUCUGAGAGAUUGGGAAGUACCCGCUGAAUUUAAGCAUGUUGAACAGUACUCUGAAGAGAUUGGAAAGUUAUCCCUAAAUGCGGACAGGGCAAUGUGGUGUUUAGAUGCUAGCCGGGGGGUACUAUUCCACUUGAAGUCCAGCUCCGAUCAUGGCUUGGAUUUGUCCCAUAGAGGGUGAAAGGCCCGUACGAGUGGAAAUUAUGCUUUGUAGUAUCCCUUAGAUGCUGGUGUCUUGGAGUCGGAUUGCUUGAGAAUGCAGUCCAAAGCGGGUGGUAAACUCCAUCCAAGGCUAAAUACUGGCACGAGUCCGAUAGUAGACAAGUACCGUGAGGGAAAGUUGAAAAGUACUCUGAAGAGAUUGUUGAGA
Molecule: ribosomal RNA, 372 nt
Filed under: Thaparocleidus indicus
Lineage: Eukaryota; Metazoa; Platyhelminthes; Monogenea; Dactylogyridea; Ancylodiscoididae
Description: eukaryotic LSU rRNA
Rfam family: Eukaryotic large subunit ribosomal RNA
Source: RNAcentral